Molecule: ribosomal RNA, 119 nt
Filed under: Lepisosteus oculatus (spotted gar)
Lineage: Eukaryota; Metazoa; Chordata; Actinopteri; Semionotiformes; Lepisosteidae
Source: RNAcentral
ACCAGCAUCCAUAUCACUCUGCAACUCACAACUGGCAGCCCACUGAAGCUAAGCAGGUGUGAGCCUGGUCAGUACCUGGAUGGGAGACCUCCUGGGAAAAACUAAGGUUGCUGCUGGAA